CCGUACAAAGGUAGCAUAAUCAUUAGUUUUUUAAUUGAAAGCUGGUAUGAAAGGUCGGACGAGAGAACGACUGUCUCAAUUUAAUUUAUAUUAGAAUUUUAUUUUUAAGUAAAAAAGCUUAAAUAAUUUUAAAAGACGAGAAGACCCUAUAGAAUUUUAUAUAUUUUGAAGUGAAGGUUUUUAAGUUAAUUUUUAUUUUUAUUAAAAAAAUGUAUUUUGUUGGGGCGAUAGAAAAAUUUAAUGAACUUUUUUUUUUUUAUAUCAUUAAUUUAUGAUUAAAUGAUCCAUAUUUUAUGAUUACAAGAUUAAAUUACCUUAGGGAUAACAGCGUAUUUUUUC
RNAcentral lists this ribosomal RNA (339 nucleotides) under Pachypus sp. BMNH 837887. RNAcentral describes it as "partial 16S ribosomal RNA". Lineage: Eukaryota; Metazoa; Arthropoda; Insecta; Coleoptera; Scarabaeidae. The record is from RNAcentral.